UUGUUUUGUUACGAUAAUUUACAUUCUUUACAUUUUGUUUGUGUGGUUCCUCCGGGCCAGGCCCCCAUCAAUGAAGACGGAGACCCUCAACGACCCUCGGAAAUGGUUCACGGUGUGUGUGGAUGAAGACACGGCCUUUCGGCCAAUCUAUAAUGAUCCUUCCGCAGGUUCACCUACGGAAA
Molecule: unclassified non-coding RNA, 182 nt
Filed under: uncultured fungus
Lineage: Eukaryota; Fungi
Description: sequence contains ITS1
Source: RNAcentral